GUCUUUUUGAUUUUAAUUUAAAGUCUGGCCUGCCCACUGAACAUUAAAUGGCCGUGGUAUUUUGACCGUGCUAAGGUAGCAUAAUCAUUAGUUUUUUAAUUGAAAACUGGAAUGAAGGGUUGGAUAAGAAAAUGACUGUCUCUAUUUAAUUUUAUUAGAAUUUUAUUUUUAAGUUAAAAAGCUUAAUUGUUAUUUAAAGACGAGAAGACCCUAUAGAGUUUAAUUAUUAAUAUUUAUUUUUAAUUUUAGAAUUUAAUUUUAAAUAAGUUGAGAGAUAAUUUAAUUGGGGUGAUUGAAAAAUUAAAUUAACUUUUUUUAAUUUAUAACAUUAAUGUAUGAAUUAUUGAUCCAGAAAUUUUGAUUAUAAGAUAAAAUUACCUUAGGGAUAACAGCGUAAUUUUUUUUGAAAGUUCUAAUUGAAAAAAAAGAUUGCGACCUCGAUGUUGGAUUAAAAUAAAUUUUUGGUGUAGAAGCUAAAAUGAUAGGUCUGUUCGACCAUUAAAAUUUUACA
This 511-nucleotide ribosomal RNA is filed under the name Augomela iridea. RNAcentral's name for it is "partial 16S ribosomal RNA". It matches the Rfam family "Bacterial large subunit ribosomal RNA", at positions 1819 to 2600 of the family's 2925-position model. Lineage: Eukaryota; Metazoa; Arthropoda; Insecta; Coleoptera; Chrysomelidae. The record is from RNAcentral.